RNAcentral lists this microRNA (21 nucleotides) under Eptesicus fuscus (big brown bat). Its description in RNAcentral is "efu-miR-9223i". Lineage: Eukaryota; Metazoa; Chordata; Mammalia; Chiroptera; Vespertilionidae. The record is from miRBase by way of RNAcentral.
UGCACCCCGGAAUCGGGCUCC